CCUACGGGCGGCAGCAGUGAGGAAUAUUGGUCAAUGGGCGGAAGCCUGAACCAGCCAAGUAGCGUGCAGGAUGACGGCCCUACGUGUUGUAAACUGCUUUUAUCCGGGAAUAACGCGCCUUACGUGUAGUGCUUUGCCUGUACCGUAUGAAUAAGGACCGGCUAAUUCCGUGCCAGCAGCCGCGGUAAUACGGAAGGUCCGGGCGUUAUCCGGAUUUAUUGGGUUUAAGGGGAGCGUAGGCCGCAUGUCAAGCGUGCUGUGCAAUGUCCGGGCGCAACCCGGGCCGUGCCGCGCGAACUGGCGUGCUUGAGUCCGCGGAAAGCAGGCGGAAUUCGUCGUGUAGCGGUGAAAUGCUUAGAUAUGACGAAGAACCCCGAUUGCGAAGGCAGCUUGCUGCAGCGGAACUGACGCUGAUGCUCGAAAGCGCGGGUAUCGAACAGGAUUAGAUACCCUUGUAGUC
Molecule: ribosomal RNA, 460 nt
Filed under: uncultured bacterium
Lineage: Bacteria
Description: partial 16S ribosomal RNA
Rfam family: Bacterial small subunit ribosomal RNA
Source: RNAcentral